RNAcentral lists this ribosomal RNA (985 nucleotides) under Preussia sp. (in: ascomycete fungi). RNAcentral describes it as "SSU rRNA". It matches the Rfam family "Eukaryotic small subunit ribosomal RNA", at positions 108 to 1101 of the family's 1831-position model. Lineage: Eukaryota; Fungi; Ascomycota; Dothideomycetes; Pleosporales; Sporormiaceae. The record is from RNAcentral.
AGUUAUCGUUUAUUUGAUAGUACCUUACUACUUGGAUAACCGUGGUAAUUCUAGAGCUAAUACAUGCUAAAAACCCCGACUUCGGGAGGGGUGUAUUUAUUAGAUAAAAAACCAAUGCCCUUCGGGGCUCUUUGGUGAUUCAUGAUAACUUAACGGAUCGCAUGGCCUUGCGCCGGCGACGGUUCAUUCAAAUUUCUGCCCUAUCAACUUUCGAUGGUAAGGUAUUGGCUUACCAUGGUUUCAACGGGUAACGGGGAAUUAGGGUUCGAUUCCGGAGAGGGAGCCUGAGAAACGGCUACCACAUCCAAGGAAGGCAGCAGGCGCGCAAAUUACCCAAUCCCGACACGGGGAGGUAGUGACAAUAAAUACUGAUACAGGGCUCUUUUGGGUCUUGUAAUCGGAAUGAGUACAAUUUAAACCCCUUAACGAGGAACAAUUGGAGGGCAAGUCUGGUGCCAGCAGCCGCGGUAAUUCCAGCUCCAAUAGCGUAUAUUAAAGUUGUUGCAGUUAAAAAGCUCGUAGUUGAACCUUGGGCCUGGCUGGCCGGUCCGCCUCACCGCGUGUACUGGUCCGGCCGGGCCUUUCCUUCUGGAGAGCCCCAUGCCCUUCACUGGGCGUGCGGGGGAACCAGGACUUUUACUUUGAAAAAAUUAGAGUGUUCAAAGCAGGCCUUUGCUCGAAUACGUUAGCAUGGAAUAAUAGAAUAGGACGUGCGGUCCUAUUUUGUUGGUUUCUAGGACCGCCGUAAUGAUUAAUAGGGAUAGUCGGGGGCAUCAGUAUUCAAUUGUCAGAGGUGAAAUUCUUGGAUUUAUUGAAGACUAACUACUGCGAAAGCAUUUGCCAAGGAUGUUUUCAUUAAUCAGUGAACGAAAGUUAGGGGAUCGAAGACGAUCAGAUACCGUCGUAGUCUUAACCGUAAACUAUGCCGACUAGGGAUCGGGCGAUGUUUCUAUCUUGACUCGCUCGGCACCUUACGAGAAAUCAA